GGGAGCGUGGCGGAAUUGGCAUACGCAGCGGACUUAAAAUCCGCCGCCUUCGGGCUUGAGGGUUCGAGUCCCUCCGCUCCUA
This 82-nucleotide transfer RNA is filed under the name Eggerthella sp. CAG:368. It matches the Rfam family "tRNA". Rfam says of the family: Transfer RNA (tRNA) molecules are approximately 80 nucleotides in length. Their secondary structure includes four short double-helical elements and three loops (D, anti-codon, and T loops). Lineage: Bacteria; Bacillati; Actinomycetota; Coriobacteriia; Eggerthellales; Eggerthellaceae. The record is from Rfam by way of RNAcentral.